AUUUUCAUCCACAAAGAUUCAUGUCUAUCUUGAACUCAUUUCCACAAGAACAUUUGAUACUGUGGGAAAUUAUCAUCAGUUUUGCAAUCUGGAGUUGUAAAGAGUGCAGAUACUCUGCCUCUCCAGCUUUGUCUGAGAGAAGUGCUUGGUACUCCUCUUGCAAGGAUUUGCUAUCCAUAUCCCCGAGUUGUGCCUUGAAAUCAUUCGUUUUUGACUUCACAAGCUCAAUAGAUCUCCUUACCUGGCUGUUCUCUGUGACAAGUUUGGACUUCAGCUCACUCAUCUGGUUUAGCUUUGUUUUAGCGUUUAGAAUUUCUACCAACUUAUCCUGAUUUUCUUCAAUUUCACCAGUUUUCUCACUAACUUUGUCCAUCACCUGGCCAUUAUCUCCAACCCACAAGUUCUGUUUGCAAUCUUUGAUCCAACCCUGCUGUUCUCCUAGCUGAGCAGUUACUUCUUCAACAGUUUUAGCAUAAUAGUCACUUUUCUGUAGAAGUUUUGCUGACAUGUUGUUUCUUUCUUGUUGAAGGAGCUCCGAUGUCUGGUUGAGGGUGGAAGAAUCAGCUCCUAAAGAAGCAAUUUUUCUUUGUUUUUCCAAAAUCAUGGAACAGAUCUGCCCUUUUUUCUCCAGUAUCCUGGCAAUUUCCUCUCCGAGUUGGC
RNAcentral lists this unclassified non-coding RNA (660 nucleotides) under Hevea brasiliensis (rubber tree). The record is from RNAcentral. Lineage: Eukaryota; Viridiplantae; Streptophyta; Magnoliopsida; Malpighiales; Euphorbiaceae.